UCAAGCUACAAAGAGCGUAUGGUGGAUGCCUUGGCAUUAGGCGCCGAUGAAGGACGUGACAAGCUGCGAUAAGCUGCGGUGAGUGGCAAAUACACUUUGACCCGCAGAUUUCCGAAUGAGGAAACUCACUAUGUUGAAGACAUAGUAUCUUUACACGAAUAAAAUAGUGUAUCGAGGGGAACCCGGAGAACUGAAACAUCUCAUUAUCCGGAGGAAAAGAAAGAAAAUAUUCGAUUUCCUGAGUAGUGGCGAGCGAAAGGGAAGGAGCCCAAACCGUUUGUAGAAAUAUAAACGGGGUUGAGAACUGCGUAACCGACCGAUUUUGAUAGUCGAAGCACUUGGAAAGGUGUGCCAUAGAGAGUGACAGCCUCGUAGGCGAAAUCAAAAUGGUCGCGGCAGAGUUCCAGAGUACCACAGGACACGUGGAAUCCGGUGGGAAUACAAGGAGGACCAUCUCCUAAGGCUAAAUACGACCUAAUGACCUAUAGAGUAUAGUACCGUGAGGGAAAGGUGAAAAGAACCCCGGGAGGGGAGUGAAAUAGAAUCUGAAACCAUAUGCUUACAAGCAGAGAUAGCACGACUUAACGUGUGGUCUCGUACUUUUUGUAGAACGGACCGGCGAGUUACGAUGCGUAGCAAGGUUAAGGUAUUAAGUACCGGAGCCGAAGCGAAAGCGAGUCUGAACAGGGCGUUCAGUUGCGCGUCGUAGACCCGAAACCGAGUGACCUAUCCAUGAACAGGUUGAAGCAGUGGUAAAACACUGUGGAGGACCGAACCCACGCCUGUUAAAAUAGUCGGGGAUGAUUUGUGGAUAGCGGAGAAAUUCUAAUCGAACUCGGAUAUAGCUGGUUCUCCUCGAAAUAGCUUUAGGGCUAGCCUCCGAAUUUAGAUUAUUGAAGGUAGAGCACUGUAUGGGCUAGGGGACUUCACGGUUUACCGAACCUUAACAAACUUCGAAUUUCAAUUAAUUAUGUCGGGGAGUCAGACUGCGUGAGAUAAGUUUCGUAGUCAAAAGGGAAACAGCCCAGACCUACAGCUAAGGUCCCCAAAUUCAGGUUAAGUGGAAAAGGAUGUAUCGUUGCUAAAACAACCAGGAUGUUGGCUUAGAAGCAGCCACUCAUUCAAAGAGUGCGUAAUAGCUCACUGGUCGAGUGACGCUGCGCCGAAGAUUCCCGGGGCUAAAACCUUACACCGAAGCUUAGGAUUCAUAGAGAUAUGAGUGGUAGAGGAGCAAUGUAUGCGGGCAGAAGCCGUAUCGAAAGGGGCGGUGGAGUGCAUACAAGAGAGAAUGCCGGUAUAAGUAGCGAAAGUGAGGUGAGAAUCCUCACCAUCGAAAGUCUAAGGUUUCCUGGGGAAGGUUCGUCCCCCCAGGGUCAGUCGGGACCUAAGUCGAGGGCGAAAGCCGUAGAUGAUGGACAGUAGGUUGAUAUUCCUGCACCGCCACUGGACGUUUUUACCGAUGCAAUGACACAGAAGGAUAGUUGAUCCCCGCGGAUGGUAAAGUGGGGUCGGCACACGAGGCCGGAGCGUAGUGAAGUACGCGCUCCGUUAAGGCAGAGUGUGAGGUUAAGCGAAAUUAAGUAGUAGUUUCAAUGAAUCCACGCUGGCGAGAAAAGUUGCUAGGGAGAAAAGUGGCGCCCGUACCGCAAACCGACACAGGUAGACGAUGAGAGAAUCAUAAGAUGAUCGGGAGAACUCUUGUUAAGGAACUCGGCAAAAUGACCCCGUAACUUCGGGAGAAGGGGUGCCACAGCGAUGUGGCCGCAGUGAAUAGUCCCAAGCAACUGUUUAUCAAAAACACAGGUCUCUGCUAAAUCGAAAGAUGAAGUAUAGGGGCUGACGCCUGCCCAGUGCUGGAAGGUUAAGGGGAGCUGUUAGCGCAAGCGAAGCGGUGAACUUAAGCCCCAGUGAACGGCGGCCGUAACUAUAACGGUCCUAAGGUAGCGAAAUUCCUUGUCAGGUAAAUUCUGACCCGCACGAAUGGCGUAAUGAUUUGGGAACUGUCUCAACAAGAGACCCGGCGAAAUUGUAGUAUACGUGAAGAUGCGUAUUAACCUGCGACUGGACGGAAAGACCCCGUAGAGCUUUACUGUAGCUUGGUAUUGAAUUUCGGCAAUGAAUGUACAGGAUAGGUGGGAGACUUGGAAGCCUCGGCGUCAGCUGAGGUGGAGUCACCCUUGGGAUACCACCCUUUUAUUGCUGGGGUUCUAACGGUGUGCCGUUAUCCGGGCACCGGACAUUGCCAGGUGGGCAGUUUGACUGGGGCGGUCGCCUCCCAAAAAGUAACGGAGGCGCCCAAAGGUUCCCUCAGAAUGGUUGGAAAUCAUUCGCAGAGUGCAAAGGCAGAAGGGAGCUUGACUGCGAGACAGACAUGUCGAGCAGAUACGAAAGUAGGGCUUAGUGAUCCGGCGGUAGAGUAUGGAAUUGCCGUCGCUUAACGGAUAAAAGUUACCUCGGGGAUAACAGGCUUAUCUCUCCCAAGAGUUCACAUCGACGGGGAGGUUUGGCACCUCGAUGUCGGCUCGUCACAUCCUGGGGCUGUAGUAGGUCCCAAGGGUUCGGCUGUUCGCCGAUUAAAGUGGCACGCGAGCUGGGUUCAGAACGUCGUGAGACAGUUCGGUCCCUAUCCAUCGUGGGCGUAGGAUAUUUGAAAGGAUCUGUCCCUAGUACGAGAGGACCGGGAUGGACGUACCAAUUGUGCAUCUGUUGUCGCGCCAGCGGCACGGCAGAGUAGCGAAGUACGGACGGGAUAAACGCUGAAAGCAUCUAAGCGUGAAACCCACCUUAAGAUAAGAUAUCCCUUUCUUUAUGAAGUAAGACCCCUUGCAGACCACAAGGUUGAUAGGUCAGAGGUGUAAGUGCAGUCAAUGCAUUUAGCUGACUGAUACUAAUAGGUCGAGGGCUUGAUCAC
Molecule: ribosomal RNA, 2911 nt
Filed under: human gut metagenome
Description: bacterial LSU rRNA
Rfam family: Bacterial large subunit ribosomal RNA
Source: RNAcentral